Molecule: non-coding RNA, 1801 nt
Organism: Phascolarctos cinereus (koala)
Lineage: Eukaryota; Metazoa; Chordata; Mammalia; Diprotodontia; Phascolarctidae
Source: RefSeq, a predicted model, not a curated record
CCAGCCUCUCUGGUGUGGCAGAAGAGAAAGGUCAGCUGCUCAUUAUUAAUGCCCAUCUCGGAUCUCUCACUGCAUGGUGCCAGUGACUCACAAGGUGGCCUUGGUGGGCAUGUGAUUCUGCCCAAAGCAGAGGCUCUGUGCCUCUCCAGUCAAAACCCCAAUCUGGCGCUGAGGGUUUGACUGUGCCUGGAGGUGGCAAAGAUGAUCUCUGCCUCAGAGUGAGCAGAAACAGACCCAGCUGCUAGAAGCCGGUCAGCCGUGCCUGGGGCCAGCCAGAGCCCCUCGUAAAGGAGCACCAGCCAUUGAGUGUGCUGAGGCUUUGGGCACUUAGGUUUUUAUUCCAUUUCCUAAAUUCUGGUGGAGGAGGAGGAGUGAGAAGCUGACAGUCAGCCAAGAUGUUAAAGCGGAUUAGUUGGAAGCAUUCUAAGAGGAGCAAAGCGCAAGACUACAGCAUUGCUCCUCGGUGGCACCUGGGACCUGGGGAUCCUUUCUCCACUUACGUUUAGCGCACAGCCUGGGACUUGUCCCUGCAGCCUCUCCGGGUUAGCCGUGCCGCCGUUGGGACCUCCCGCCUGGACUCCCACCACCCACUCCUCUUGGGACUGCCCCGGCAGGGCUGGUGUGGGUGCAGCCACAUGCCUGGUGGGAAACAUGCUCCAGGCAGAGCCUGCCCCCCCGGGCUGUGGGAUCGUCCGGUGGGCUCCCCUGUUCCGUGGGUCCCCUGUUCUGCCUCUGGGUGCAAUUCGAGGUUUCCCUCCACAAAGUUUGAUAUGUUAUAGGUGCUGGGGACCAGAGACAGGCUCCAUGGCUCAACGUGCCCUCAGCACCAUCAUCCCACCCCACCCAGGUCCAGGGUUCCACUCCAGUGAGGGACAGAGUGGGAGGGUGGGUCAAUGAGAUGAGGAGGAGUUUUCUGAGGCUUUUGUCCCCUGCCGGCCUCCUACCCCUCUACAUGUCAACCUUCCUGAACCUGGGGGACAACGCAUCACUCUGACCCAGCCUGCCUCCUCUCAUAUAGUGGGAAACGAUGAGAAAAGGGGUUGCGGAGUGGUAGAGGAGGUGGCAUGAGGGUAGAUCGGAACAAGGGCUUAGCCUAGCCUUACCAAAAGUUUGCCAAAAUCAUUCAGCCAUAGAAAAUCUAUUUGCAUCAAUCCACCUGUAUUUUUCAGUAUCCCUCUUCUGCCUCCCCUUGUAUUCAGAUCCCUGUGUUUAGCACUCCCCUACCUAUUGUCUCUUAGCUUCCAAUAUACUCAAAGAUACUCACCUCUUCCUCCCUACCCCCCACCCUCAGAGCCCCAGGAAAGACCCUACAUAGAAGGGAGAGGCAGAGAUGAAUCCAGCCUCCCAGGGAAAAACCAACUCCGGAGAAGCGGAGAGGCAAAGGUCACUUCUUUAAUCCCGUUUCCCCAUUUUACGGAUUCAUUGCUUUGUUUUCACUAGCUCAGGCCUUGUUUUUUUUUUUUAGGUUCAGCACUCAUUUCCAUGGCUAGGCUAGUGGGGGGUGUUCCCUUGUGUUUCCAAAAGUUUACACUUCAGCUGUCUCACAGGCUUAUUGUGAGGAUGAGAGACCAAGUGCGGUGUCCAGUGCCCUGAGCUUUGCAGAGGCAAGCAUCCCUCGAAGUAAAGCCCCAUGCUCUAGAAACGUACCUGGCUCAAGAAAGGACCCUGGGGGGUUGUACUUGACCAAGAAUCCAGGGGUGCACAGCGAUAUGGGCAUUUGCAUGACUGAGAAGAAUCGCUGAUGUCUUGUUUGCACAUGUCACUUACUUGAAUAUGUUCCAAUAAAAUGAUUCGAAAGCAG